AGAGUUUGAUCCUGGCUCAGGACGAACGCUGGCGGUGCGCUUUAUGCAUGCAAGUCGAGCGAAGCUUUUCAGUAGUUUACUACAGAAAAUGACUGAGCGGCGAACGGGUGAGUAACGCGUGAGCAAUCUACCUUAGUUACAGGGAUAGCCCGAGGAAACUCGGAUUAAUACCUGAUAUUCUUUACAUUUCGCAUGAAAUCAAAAGGAAAGGUCAGCCGAACUAAGAUGAGCUCGCGUUCUAUCAGCUAGUUGGUGAGGUAAAAGCUCACCAAGGCAACGACGGAUAGCUGGUCUGAGAGGACGAUCAGCCACACUGGGACUGAGACACGGCCCAGACUCCUACGGGAGGCUGCAGCAGGGAAUAUUGCGCAAUGAGCGAAAGCUUGACGCAGCGACACCGCGUGUGGGAUGACGGAUCUAGGUUUGUAAACCACUUUCAGGAGGGAAGAAAAUGACGGUACCUCCACAAGAAGCCCCGGCCAACUACGUGCCAGCAGCCGCGGUAAUACGUAGGGGGCGAGCGUUGUCCGGAUUUAUUGGGCGUAAAGAGCUCGUAGGCGGUUCAACAAGUCGGUCGUAAAAGUUCAGGGCUCAACCCUGAAAUGUCGAUCGAUACUGUUGUGACUAGGAUACGGUAGAGGUGAGUGGAAUUCCGAGUGUAGAGGUGAAAUUCGUAGAUAUUCGGAGGAACACCAGUGGCGAAGGCGGCUCACUGGCUCGAUACUGACGCUGAGGUGCGAAAGUGUGGGGAGCAAACAGGAUUAGAUACCCUGGUAGUCCACACCGUAAACGAUGAAUGCCAGUCGUCGGGUAGUAUACUAUUCGGUGACACACCUAACGGAUUAAGCAUUCCGCCUGGGGAGUACGGUCGCAAGAUUAAAACUCAAAGGAAUUGACGG
RNAcentral lists this ribosomal RNA (899 nucleotides) under uncultured marine bacterium. RNAcentral describes it as "bacterial SSU rRNA". It matches the Rfam family "Bacterial small subunit ribosomal RNA", at positions 8 to 916 of the family's 1533-position model. The record is from RNAcentral.